UUUCAAUUGAGCGUUCUCUAAUUAUAGAGACCACUCGCGCUCUCUUCAGUUUUUGCAAUAGUGUGGUGAGAGUGCGUAUAUUCUCCCCUAUCGUACGCCUUUUACAAUCUAAUACUUCAGUAUGGUGGAAGCAUUUCAAUUUGACGGAAGUAAAUAUUAAAGUGUUCGAUUUUCAAUAAGACCAAUUGGAUUUUGAGAUAUCAAGGAAUGCGUCAUACAAUUAUAGUUGACCUUAAAGUAUGAAGUCUCUUUUGUCUACUCAGUUUUACGCCUCUUUGGUGAAAAAAUUGGAAAAAGAGAAAUAAUAAAGCCAAAAAUACUGGAUUUAUUUCAAUAUAAACAUCUCAGAGAUCGGAAGAGAAAGAAAAUAUACACGUGCGAAUAUCUUGGAGAGCAACCGUCGGAUAAGCUCGUAAACUCAAACUUCUGUAUGCUUGGAAGAUUUUACGCAAACAAUUUAAAAAUGGUAACGGAACUCCAAAGUUUUUCAACUUAUUCCUUAUGUAUUUUUAUUGUUAUAUGCGGGUGUGCGCUAUAUCCACUGUGUUCGAAAUGUGCACAAAUAUGUGGUACCAGAAACCAUACCCGAGCAACGAAUUUGGCAGCCGAUAAUCCGCCUACCGCCCCACUGACUAAAAGACAAGAAGACUUACCACCAUCAUACAGUGAUAUUUUUCCAGAAGAAAUUCCGUAAGGAUAGUUUCACUCGAAGAAGCGGGUAUUAUUUCUUUAAGCGAAAAUAUUUAAGGGCUGCCAAAUCAAUGAUAUAUAAUAAAUAUAUAUUUAAAUAAACUACCUAAUAAUCUUAAAAUAUUAGAAGUUAUUGUUUUUUUGUGAUGAAAUUAUACCCUCUACUACAAGCAGUAUAUAUUGAAAAGAAUAUUGCAUUCGUUGAAAAUGUUCAUUCGACAGAUUGGCGCGUUUUUGACCCUAAGAAAUAUACAUAUUCUGGAGGUUAAUAGCCAAGUUAUUUUAAUAAUAGAAAAGACUAAGCAGCAAAGCUUGAUUUUUCGUAAGGCGUCCACGACUACACAAAAUGUAAUAUUAAUCCGAAAAAUGUUCAAAAGUUAAAUUUUUCAGGUCUUUAAUGACAAUUAAUAAUGAAUCAAAUUAUUCCACGAGGAAUAACACUCUGCAUUCCAACCAUUUCUUGCUUUGCGCUAUGCCAAAAUACUAUUUUUUUGCCAAUAAAUAUAAAAAAUAGAAUACCUAUUGGAAAGAGUUGUUUACAGCCAAGAAAACUUGUAAACCUUUUUAAACAAACUCUUUAACCGAGCGUUCUUUAAUAACAGAGACCACUGUGUAAAACGGCUCGCGCUCUCUUUGUUUUUGUAAAAGUGUGGUGAGAGUGCGUAUAUACCCCCCUAUCUUACGCAUUGUACAAUCUGAUACUUCAGUAUGGUGGAAGCAUUUCAAUUCGACGGAAGUAAAUAUUAAAGUGUUCGAUUUUCAAUUGAUUAAGUUUUUGUUUAUUAACGUUUAUUAGUUUUGCCUGAUCAUUUGGAUUUAGAAAUAGAACGGAAUGCGUGAUAAAAUUGUAUCUCAUUUGCCUCUUUGGUAAACUGUAAGAAAAAUUGCUGGAUGGAUUUAAAAUAAAUAAAAAUAACAAAACUGACAUUAUGACAUUAGACCGCUGUGUAGAACGGCUCGCGCUCUCUUUAGUUUGUGUAAUAGUGUGGUGAGAGUGCGAAUAUUCUCUCCUAUCAUACGCAUUAUACAAUCUGAUACUUUAGUAAGGUGGAAGCAUUUCAAUUCGACGGAAGUACAAAUUUAAGUGUUCGAUUUAAGAUCAAUUGGAUUUUGAGCUAUCAAGCAUAGCUAUCAAUGUAUAGUAGAACUCGAAAUACGCGGUCUCAUUUGCCUACUCAGCUUUACCUCUCUUUGGAUAAUAAACUGGAAAAAAUGAAAUAGUGCAAUCCAGAAUAGCUCGAUUUAAAAUUAAGGAACUAUUUUGCUGACAAAAAUAAAACUAAACUAAAACUUUGAGCUUUAACCAACCAUUAAAAAACGCGUAUCUCUCUAAAACACCUUAAGAGAAUAGAAGAGAAAGUUAAUAUACACGUGCGAAUAUCUUGGAGAGCAACCGUCUGAUAAGCUCGUAAACUCAAACUUCUGUAUGCUUGGAAGAUUUUACAUCAACAAUUUUUAAAAUGGGAGAAGAAUUGGAAUUUUUUUAAAUUUUAUGAUGUUGUUUUUAAUACUUAUGUUCGCAUGUGCUGUACGUUCACUGUGUUGCAAGUGUGAACAAAAUGCCAAUUCCGAAUCACGUCCAACCCAGAAUGCCGCAUCAAAUCAAUCACGGAAUUUUAGAUCAGAUGAAUCCCGUAAUUUUAGAUCAGAUGAAUCCCGUAAUUUUAGAUCAGAAGAAUCCCGGAAUCUCAGAUCAGAUGAAAUCCCAAAUUCCUUUUCAGAAGAAUUCCUAAAUUAUAGAUCAGAGGUAUUGCGGACCCUCGGACCAUUCCAGAACUCACGAUCAGAUGAAUUCCAAAAUUUCAGAUCAAAUGUACUUCGGACUUUAGGACUAGAUCCAUUCGCAUCAUAUGAAGAAUAUAACAACCAUAACCCUGCAACCAAUCCCGAUACCAACAACCAUAACAAUGCAACCACUCCGGAUAUCAACAACCAAAACCGUACAACAAAUUCGGCAGCCGAUUUCCAACCUACUGCGCCGCCGACCGAACCACAAGAAGACUUACCACCGUCCUAUAGCGCACUAUUUUCAAAUCAGACUCCGUAAAAAAGUUUUGUUAGAAGAAGAUUAUUAUAUGAAAGAACUGCUAGCCAAAUGAAUUAAAUAAAAUUAAAUGUUUAAUUAUA
Drosophila eugracilis is the source of this 2817-nucleotide long non-coding RNA. RefSeq lists it as uncharacterized. The transcript has 5 exons. The record is from RefSeq and is a predicted model, not a curated record. Lineage: Eukaryota; Metazoa; Arthropoda; Insecta; Diptera; Drosophilidae.